GUGCUAAGUUACUUGAUAGAUAAUUUGAAGAGGUUUUUACAUAUGCUCUGUGGAUAAACUAAGUUGUUGCAUAGAGACUUAAGUUGUGUUGAUUUAAGACAUUGACUUUCCCUUUCAUACCAUAGUGCUAUAUUGUUUAUAAAGUGAGAACUUGCUUGAUUUUUAGUUGAAGUAUUUAAGCCUUAUUUAUAAACCAUUUUUACACACUUUAAAGAGCUAAACUUUCAAUUUUUCAUAAAGUUACAAACAAUAGCUGAAAAAUUGAUAACAGU
This 272-nucleotide unclassified non-coding RNA is filed under the name Hevea brasiliensis (rubber tree). Lineage: Eukaryota; Viridiplantae; Streptophyta; Magnoliopsida; Malpighiales; Euphorbiaceae. The record is from RNAcentral.